GAUGAACGCUGGCGGCGUGCUUAACACAUGCAAGUCGAACGGAAAGUCCCAAGCUUGCUUGGGUACUCGAGUGGCGAACGGGUGUGUAACACGUGGGUGAGCUGCCCUGCACUUCGGGAUAAGCCUGGGAAACUGGGUCUAAUACCGGAUAGGACGAUGUUUUGGAUGCCAUUGUGUACAGUUUUUUCGGUGUGUGAUGUGCUCGCGGCCUAUCAGCUUUUGCGUGGGGUACUGGCCUACCAAGGUGUAGACGGGUAGCCGGCCUGAUAGGGUGUACGGCCGCAUUGGACCUGAGCUACGGCCCGCACUCCUACGUGUGGCAGAAGGGGCGAAUACUGCAUAGUGGGCGGCCGCCUGAGGCAGGGACGCCUCGUGAGCGUUGACGGCCUUCGGGUUGUAAACUCCUUUCGCUAGGUACCAGGCGUCUUUGUGACGGUACCUGGAGAAGAAGCCCCGGCUAACUACGUG
This 468-nucleotide ribosomal RNA is filed under the name uncultured bacterium. RNAcentral describes it as "partial 16S ribosomal RNA". It matches the Rfam family "Bacterial small subunit ribosomal RNA", at positions 28 to 507 of the family's 1533-position model. The record is from RNAcentral.